CAGUAGCCACGGUAACACGAAGGGGGCUAGCGUUGUUCGGAAUUACUGGGCGUAAAGGGCGCGUAGGCGGCCAUUCAAGUUAGAUGUGAAAGCCCUGGGCUCAACCUAGGAAUUGCAUUUGAUACUGUUUGGCUUGAGUUCGGGAGAGGUGAGUGGAAUUCCCAGUGUAGAGGUGAAAUUCGUAGAUAUUGGGAAGAACACCAGUGGCGAAGGCGGCUCACUGGACCGACACUGACGCUGAGGCGCGAAAGCGUGGGGAGCAAACAGGAUUAGAUACCCCCGUAGUCCCUGUCUCUUAUAC
Molecule: ribosomal RNA, 301 nt
Filed under: uncultured bacterium
Lineage: Bacteria
Description: partial 16S ribosomal RNA
Rfam family: Bacterial small subunit ribosomal RNA
Source: RNAcentral